CACGCUGUAAACGAUGAGAGCUAGUUGUCGGCACGCAUGCGUGUCGGUGACGCAGCUAACGCAUUAAGCUCUCCGCCUGGGGAGUACGGCCGCAAGGUUAAAACUCAAAGAAAUUGACGGGGGCCCGCACAAGCGGUGGAGCAUGUGGUUUAAUUCGAAGCAACGCGAAGAACCUUACCCACGUUUGACAUGUCUAGUAUGGUCGUCAGAGAUGACUUCCUUCAGUUCGGCUGGCUAGAACACAGGUGC
Molecule: ribosomal RNA, 249 nt
Filed under: uncultured Alphaproteobacteria bacterium
Lineage: Bacteria; Pseudomonadati; Pseudomonadota; Alphaproteobacteria
Description: partial 16S ribosomal RNA
Rfam family: Bacterial small subunit ribosomal RNA
Source: RNAcentral